RNAcentral lists this ribosomal RNA (497 nucleotides) under uncultured bacterium. RNAcentral describes it as "partial 16S ribosomal RNA". It matches the Rfam family "Bacterial small subunit ribosomal RNA", at positions 28 to 507 of the family's 1533-position model. The record is from RNAcentral.
GAUGAACGCUGGCGGCGUGCCUAAUACAUGCAAGUCGAGCGAACAGAUAAGGAGCUUGCUCCUUUGACGUUAGCGGCGGACGGGUGAGUAACACGUGGGUAACCUACCUAUAAGACUGGGAUAACUUCGGGAAACCGGAGCUAAUACCGGAUAACAUUUGGAACCGCAUGGUUCUAAAGUGAAAGUUGGUUUUGCUAUCACUUAUAGAUGGACCCGCGCCGUAUUAGCUAGUUGGUAAGGUAACGGCUUACCAAGGCAACGAUACGUAGCCGACCUGAGAGGGUGAUCGGCCACACUGGAACUGAGACACGGUCCAGACUCCUACGGGAGGCAGCAGUAGGGAAUCUUCCGCAAUGGGCGAAAGCCUGACGGAGCAACGCCGCGUGAGUGAUGAAGGGUUUCGGCUCGUAAAACUCUGUUAUUAGGGAAGAACAAAUGUGUAAGUAACUGUGCACGUCUUGACGGUACCUAAUCAGAAAGCCACGGCUAACUACGUG